This 332-nucleotide ribosomal RNA is filed under the name uncultured Chloroflexota bacterium. RNAcentral describes it as "bacterial SSU rRNA". It matches the Rfam family "Bacterial small subunit ribosomal RNA", at positions 568 to 898 of the family's 1533-position model. The record is from RNAcentral. Lineage: Bacteria; Bacillati; Chloroflexota.
CGCGCAGGUGGUUCGUUGCGUCCGAGGUGAAAUCUCCCGGCUCAACUGGGAGGGGUCUUCGGAUACGGGCGGACUUGAGGAGAGCAGAGGUAGGCGGAAUUCUGGGUGUAGUGGUGAAAUGCGUAGAUAUCCAGAGGAACACCAGUGGCGAAGGCGGCCUACUGGGCUCCACCUGACACUGAGGCGCGAAAGCGUGGGGAGCGAACCGGAUUAGAUACCCGGGUAGUCCACGCCGUAAACGAUGGGCACUAGGUGUGAGGGGUAUUGACCCCCUUCGUGCCGUAGCUAACGCGUUAAGUGCCCCGCCUGGGGAGUACGGCCGCAAGGCUAAA